CGCGGAUUAAUGUAAUAGUAACAUCUUUGACUCAUGAUCAAAAAAUAGAGGUGCGAAUCCUCUAUCCGCAU
Coniochaeta pulveracea is the source of this 71-nucleotide non-coding RNA. The record is from the annotation of a GenBank genome assembly. Lineage: Eukaryota; Fungi; Ascomycota; Sordariomycetes; Coniochaetales; Coniochaetaceae.